This 439-nucleotide ribosomal RNA is filed under the name uncultured bacterium. Its description in RNAcentral is "bacterial SSU rRNA". It matches the Rfam family "Bacterial small subunit ribosomal RNA", at positions 45 to 507 of the family's 1533-position model. The record is from RNAcentral.
CGCCUUAACACAUGCAAGUCGAACGGAGAACCUUCGGGUUCUUAGUGCGGACGGUGAGUAACACGUGAGCAACCUGCCUCUCAGAGGGGGAUAACGUUUGGAAACGAACGCUAAUACCGCAUAACGUAUUUUGGUCACAUGGCCUUAAUACCCAAAGGAGCAAUCCGCUGAGAGAUGGGCUCGCGUCCGAUUAGAUAGUUGGCGGGGUAACGGCCCACCAAGUCGACGAUCGGUAGCCGGACUGAGAGGUUGAACGGCCACAUUGGGACUGAGAUACGGCCCAGACUCCUACGGGAGGCAGCAGUGGGGGAUAUUGCACAAUGGGGGAAACCCUGAUGCAGCGAUGCCGCGUGAAUGAUGACGGUCUUCGGAUUGUAAAGUUCUGUCGUUAGGGACGAUAAUGACGGUACCUAACAAGAAAGCUCCGGCUAACUACGUG